CCCUUAGAUGUUCUGGGCCGCACGCGCGCUACACUGACGAAGUCAGCGAGCAUCUCCUACGCCGAAAGGUGCGGGGAAUCUUGUGAAACUUUGUCGUGCUGGGGAUUGAUUUUUGAAAUUCUUGAUCAUCAACGAGGAAUUCCUAGUAAGCGCAAGUCAGCAGCUUGCGCUGAUUACGUCCCUGCCCUUUGUACACACCGCCCGUCGCUACUACCGAUUGAAUGGUUUAGUGAGAUUUUUGGACUGGAACUCUCUUGUUCAGCAAUGAACGAGAGGGACUCUGGGAAGCUAUUCUAACUGUAUCAUUUAGAGGAAGUAAAAGUCGUAACA
This 330-nucleotide ribosomal RNA is filed under the name uncultured eukaryote. RNAcentral's name for it is "partial 18S ribosomal RNA". It matches the Rfam family "Eukaryotic small subunit ribosomal RNA", at positions 1470 to 1796 of the family's 1831-position model. The record is from RNAcentral.